RNAcentral lists this non-coding RNA (27 nucleotides) under Homo sapiens (human). Lineage: Eukaryota; Metazoa; Chordata; Mammalia; Primates; Hominidae. The record is from RNAcentral.
GAAGUGAAAUGAGUGAGAAUUCUGGGA